ACAGCCACUCGACCUCGCCAAGA
RNAcentral lists this small nuclear RNA (23 nucleotides) under Arabidopsis thaliana (thale cress). RNAcentral's name for it is "snRNA_15970". Lineage: Eukaryota; Viridiplantae; Streptophyta; Magnoliopsida; Brassicales; Brassicaceae. The record is from RNAcentral.